Molecule: long non-coding RNA, 6369 nt
Organism: Cynoglossus semilaevis (tongue sole)
Lineage: Eukaryota; Metazoa; Chordata; Actinopteri; Pleuronectiformes; Cynoglossidae
Exons: 4
Source: RefSeq, a predicted model, not a curated record
UCACAUUCACACCUCCGGGCAGAAUCAAACCAACAAACCUGUGGUCUGCUGCUGGAUGAGAGCACUUACCACGCCGCGUAGUGGGUCCCAAAAUCGGUGCUCGGCCCCCCUUGGAGGGCUCCAGGUUAUUAUGGAGGGGCACAGCAGGUGAAGAUUCAAAUUCAAAUUUUUUUUCUGCAGCCGUUGUCCAGCAGAUGAUACUGUGUUAUAUUUGUCAUGCCCUUUUUCAUGGUUUUUAACAUUAUUCCUCGUGACUCAGUUCCACGGGGUGAGGGUUCAGAGGAGAGGGUGAGAGAAGUGAGACCCUGAAUUUCUUUUCUUCCUUUAUUAAACGCUGCAGAAAAUGCCGUUUAAAACUGCCUUGCUUAUUUACAUCCUUCUUCCCCAAACAUAUUCAUUCCUACUUCUAUUAAUCGAAAUAAUUCUGCAAAACACUGCCCCCUACUGCACGAUCAGGCACGUUUGUUUGCAGGUUCAUUGAUCACAGAUGUCUGUUAAAGUAUAAAUACGAUUAGGACGAAGGGGAUUUAUGUUGUUCAAGGGUUUAAUUUGAUAUUUUAAAAGAAGAAGUGAAUGAAAUCUUCUGGAGUCUUAAUCUUCUGUCGUGACAUGUUUAGAAGGAGAAUUCAUAAAGAUGUUUAAAAAAAAAAAGAUGCUGAUGUUGACCCGUGGGGUCAUGAAGGAUGAACGUCGUUUUCCCCCUGGUUCCCUUCAUGAUGAGGUGCAGUGGAUCUUCUGUCUCCUCUGUGGCUGCAGCACCUUUCUUACGUCUCUAAAUUCUCUCUGGACGCUCGUCCUCCUCCUACUGUCCUCCUGCCUGGGACCUCCAUUUCCAACACCCUGUCUCUGUCAGUCCCGGUCGUUUCCAAUGAAAAUCCUCAGUCUCUGCACUUUUGCCACAUUCAUCUCAGCCUCCUGUUCUUUUUAGGCUAUAAAAUCACAUCAGCUUUUACGAGCACAUUGUAAACCAUCACUUUCAUUCUUGCUGCCACACUUUGCCCCGAGUCUCGUCUCCACCCACUCUUCCCUGUCUACAUCCUGCUGUUUCUCACCGUGGAUGGUUGAUGAUUUAAACUCAUCCACCUCUAAUUUGAUAAAAAAAAUAAAAAAAACCCUUAAUAAAACCAAGUAUUAACAGCGGCGUUUGUUCCCAGAUUGGAUUAUAAUCCAUCAUGUGUCAGAUUUUGUUUUUCCAGUUGUUGGUGAUGGGUUGUUGAGCUCUGUGUUGAAAGACCUUUCUUUUUUUGUGUCACGCUUAAGUUUGAGGAGGAUGUGUACGGGGGAGAAAAGCGAGACAAGAGGAGGCAGGUUAGAAAAAAAAGGGGGAGGAGUAAGAAAGGGGAGUGAGGGGGGGUCAGCAUGGGAGGGAGGUAUGAUAGUGAGAGGGGCUGAGACAGUGGCAGAACAAGCCAGAGGCAGAGGAGGAGGAGGAGGCAGCAGCAGAGGAGCAGCGGCGGCGGCAGCGGCAGUUCUCCCCCUGAGCCUCCAUCCCAGAAUAGACAGACAGAGCGAGGAAGAGAGGGAGAAGACCCGGAGAAGACCGACAGUCCCGCCUCAGCAGAAGGUCCCAGCUGCUGCUGCUGCUCAAGUUGAAGCCCAGACACCUGCUUCAAGGUCAGGAAGACGGCAUGUGCCAAGGAGACGCGUCGGCUGUCACCCAACCUGAAAACCUGUCAGUGCACUGGCUGUCCUGAACACACCGAUGGAACAUCAGGCUGCUGAUGAGGAGGAAUGAAUCUGGCGAGUGACACCAACACGAAACGAUCUAUCAGGAGUCGAUGAAGAGGAGGAGGAGACCUGUCACAGCCGGAGCCUGAAACAGUCAGCGUCCACUCCGCUUCACCUGUCACACGGAUUUGUUGUAGAUAACACGGGGCGCGGAUCAAAGGCAUGAACUCACCUCAACAUCACACAUUGGUGCCUUUAAACUGAAUAACUUCCUUUUUAAACUAAUCCCUUGCCGUUCUGACUGACUGAGGCGAAAGCAGUAGUAAAAAGUAGUAGUAAAAUGGAAAAACAGAAUAAUAAAAGUAAUUUAUUUUGGCUGCUUUCAUUAAAAAAAACAGUGCCUUACGUUCAUAAAAGUUUUUUUAAAUCGUAUUUAUUAUUUAAUUCUUUAACUAUCUAUGCAAAACCUUAACAGGCAAACAGAGGAGUAAUUACAGCUGCGAAAUAAAAGUAGUUAUUGCCAAAAAAAAAAAAAAAAAGUCCAAAUUUGUCCUUUAAAAGUAGCGGCAGUGACAUGUACAUCCAGCGCAGCAGAGUCUCGGAGCGACACUUAAAUCACACACUAAAUAACUGCUACUUCAAACUACUUUGGUUUUUAUUUCCCUGCUAAAAAGUAGCAACAAAUCCUACAGAUUGGGAGAAUCCACUCAGUUACACCGAAUACUUUAUUAGUAUUUGUAGGUUGGCAUCUGAGCUGCACCGAAGUGCCCGUUUGAGUGAUGUGGAGUGUGUGUGCACUGUACAUAACGACCUGUUUUAUCACUGCUGGACCUGAGAGUAUGGAAACUCAGCCUUUUUUCAGUCUAAUUAGCAGAAUUAAAUGUAAUCUGUUACCGGGCCAGGGGCUCGCGCCUCCUCUCACGAGGCCUGACAGGAUUUGCGAGGAGCUGCAGGUCCGUUUUUCAGCGUGUCAGUUCCCACCACUGCCUCCCUUUUUCCUCCUCCUCACCCUUCCCCCACCCUCCCUGCCACCUUCAGUGCGCCGCAGUUGCAUUAUUAAAGUUGUAUAGGAUCAUUAGCAUACAAAGCAGGAAACCUAGCGUGGUGGAGUCAUACAUAUUUAUCUGGAGGUGCCGUGGAUACACCCAUACUGUAACCUCCUUCACGUACAUGCCUCGGCGCCUCUCCUCCCGUGGGAGCGCAGCACUUCACGGGGACUAUGAAGUGGAAAUUAGCAGGAGCACGUCCGGCUAUAAGUGAUAGGUAUUUAUUUGCAUGACAUCAGAGGAAACACGCGCUCUGAUCUGCUUUAAGACCGGGGUGACGCAACGAGGUGUGAGACGAGAAAAAGAAAAAAAAGGAAAUGAGCGGAUCUGGAAACAGAGCAGAUGGAGUUUGGUGAAGUUCAUCAGAGCAGCUCUGUUUCAAGCAUAUCAAAUAUAGUUCACACACCGACGACUUCCUCGCUGUUAUUGCCAGUCAUACAUAUUCAUCUGCUGCACAGAGGCUCAUCAUCAAACAGAGAGUUAGUCAAACAGAGAGCAGGCUUCUGUUAGCACUGGUGUCACCUGUGGGGUAACUUCUGCGCCUUCCAUGAUUGUGAAAUCAAGCUCCUUUUUUCUCUCUUGUUCCCUCCAUACAUCACUGUCCUCCCUGCUUUUCCUCCUGACUAACUCAACUCGUUAGUCUGGCGACGUGGGCUCCUCUGUUGACUUUUCUCCCUCCUCUCCACCUCCUCUUUCUCCUUCCUCCUGUGAGAUUGCUGUUGUGUCUUAUGGCUUUUUAUUCCUACGUGAUGGUAGAUGGGUUCAUGUAGGAGUAGAAGCCACUAAACACACGGUGAGUGCUCGGCAUAGGCAGAGACCUCCCUGCGGGCGUGUACGUCGACGUCUCGGCCUGGUAAUUAAGAAGGCGCUAAGAGGGAACCUGUGGUUCUGCAGCAAGGUCACUGACUCUGCUGUAUUCUGAAAAGGGUUGCAGAAAAAACAGCGCUUCAUUCAACAAAAUGCACACAAACAGCCAGACUGAGUCUUUGGUUGUGAACAGACCUACUUUUCACCACCUGCAUGCAGGUUGCACGUGCCCUGGAUUUCAAGCUCAUUCUUAUGUUCCUCUGCCUCGAGGUCAGCGAACAAAACUGGAGCUGGAAAGUUCUCAAAAUAAAGUUGAGGGAGAAAAGAUGCCAGAUUGAGAAGAGGUAGGUCAAAGUGUUCACUGAAGAAAAAAAACUGUACAGAAUAAGGAGACUUCUUUUGUAAAUUAUUGAUAUUAUAAUACUUCUCAACCAAUGCAACCCAGAUAUUUUGUAAAAUGACAAAUGUAUGUGUUGUGUAUUUUUCAGUUUCUUGUUUUUUUGGAAAAUAAUCAAAAUCUUAUCAAGGACCACAUUCUUGGGUACUAGACAAUGUUCCCCAUAAAGAACAAAGUAAUUCGAAAGACUUGUAAGACUGAGUAAUGUCUGAUGUUCUACUGUAGUAUCAUCCAUCUACAAGUACAGACUUCAAAGUAUCAUAACAGGUGUUCGUCUCCUGGAGUAAUAAAGUGAGUCAUACCCAGUGGUGUUCGGUUGGGAAACAGUCCUGCUGCAUUAUGUUUGUAACAAUAUCUUGAGCAUCAAAAUAACCUUCUGUGUAAUUUUUAACUCCUAGGACUCAGCGUGACUAAGUGGAUCUUUUGAUUGUUUAUCUAAUGACUGUUUGGACAUAAAGAUUACAUACUGGUACAUUUACAAUUGGAAAAGACGAGGGGGGGCACACAGUGGAAUAGUUGUUUUUGCUGUUUUCUUAUUCUGAAAGUCACUACUUCGAUUCUUGGUGUUAAUUGAUGGACUUUCUCCAACAAUCCAAAAACAGGAUAUUCACUCUAAAUUGGCCACUGGUGUGAAUACAAACGUAAAUGACAGUGUGAAUAGUUGUUUUUCCCAGCCCUGACCUGAUAACUGCUGUGAUGUACUCCCACUUUCCUCCACGACCCUGAAAAAAGGGAUUGAAUGUCAGGACAUAAAUUAUUAAUUCAUUAUUGAACACAAGGGGGGAGAAAAAACCUGAUAAAUGUUGUUUAGAUUUGUGUGACAUCUGUGGAGAUGCACGUGUAACAGCCCCAGUGGCGUGUGACAGAUUCCAUCCCACUUCACCCAAUGUCUGUUGAGAUACUCUCGUCUGGACUGAACUCAACUCCCCAAAGCUGACUGUGCUGCCAGCCUGUUAAAAAAUUUAAAAUGUCUCCGUCUGAGAUGCAUGCUUCUCCCUCGACAGUGUUGAAUCGCACUUUCCUCUUUGCUCAGCAUUUCAGAUUUUGUGAAAAAUUCACACAUACGCCAGGGUUUUGAACAUUUAUUUUACAUAUGCUCUUUGUAGGACUUCCCUCCUCCUUUAAAUCUCUCAGCAUCAGCCGGAGAGAGCGGUAACUCGGCUCAGUGCGAGCCAUUUAAAUUCACGUCCACCCACAAAUGAGAUUCAAGACAUUUUAGCCGCCUGAAAAUGGCUAAUAAUGGUAUUUAUCAGCGCGGGCUCUCUGCCAGGGCUGAACUUACUGUCAGCCAAUUAGGCAGGAAAUUCAAAUUAGCCAGUUACUGUUUGGGUCCGAAUGGGUGCUGUGGGGUUUGGCUCUAAAUGUCAACCUUGUGUUUGUAUUUGCCCUGAAAUAAUCCGCUCUUUCUCCUCUCUGUCUUUUUCCUCCUGAGCAGAAUUUAAAUAAAGCUUAAAUGGUUCGUCGUCAGGCAGGGAACUCGAGGGAACGGUAAUCUCUGGAUAUGAGGGGAAUUUGACACACACUUGCCAUUGUGUGACAUUACCUUUGUCGCAAUACGAGGUGGAUAAUUAUUCCAGAUGAAACUGCAGUGGAUAAUGUCUGCCGAGGUUUUAAUGAUUUAUUCAGCACCGUAAGCUGUUAUGAUCUCACAUUCAGUGGGUGGGAUGGAAAGUUUCCUUUGCUUGCAUUAUCAGGGUUUAAUUUAUUUUUCAGGUUCCCACUCCUACAUAGGCGAUUUUAUGACUUCUAUAAGGAGACAAGACGAUGUCUGAGAGAAUAGCAAAGCAGAGGAGACACAUUAGAAUAAGGCAGAGAGACACACACACACACACAGAGAGAGAGAGAGAGAGAGCGUUCGUUCCCAGACCAGCAGGGGUUCAUGGGAAUCUAAAGGUGCAAAUCAAACGUUAGGAAUCUACGGGAACCAGCGUGCAUUAUUUAAAAUGGUGCUGGCACAUGAAGGGCAGGCAGUUUGAAUAGAUUGCUGCCGUUCUCUGUUUUUGCCGCAGGCUGUGUACGCCUUUCCCUGUUAUGAUCUGACUGUGCAGUAAACCUCACAUUCCCAAAAUGUCAAAGUGUUGAGUGAAAGGAGACGAAACAGCCCCAUUUUUUAUUGUGAAAGCUGUGUUGUUGUUGUUUUUUUUUGGCUUCCAUCAGUACUGCAGUUGUGUUUGAACUACACAAGGUCACAACAUUCCUCAAUUCUUCUGAAAUGAAAAAGCCUUCCCACUUGACUAAUGGGAUUUUCUCUUGACAGCUGCGUUAAUGCGGCGUGUUUGUGUACAGUAGGUUUGCGGUGUGGAUAUUGUGUUACUGUAUUCAACCUCCCCUCAGGACACACUUUGAUUUUUUUUUUUCUCUCCUUGUAAUAAAUAAUGCCCUUUGGUGUUGCCUGCUUCUUCUGUGGUAACAUUAGUGCUGCUCAAUAAAUUGUGAAUCACGCCUGUUCCA